GGUAGAUCGGUUGAAAAAGGAAGUACAAAUAAAAAGAAGUCUAGGUCAAAAUCUAGAGGACAUAAUUCUAAAUCCUGUCGCUAUUGUAAGAAAGAUGGGCAUGAAAUUUCUGAAUGCUAUAAAUUGAAAAAUAAAAAGGAGAGAGAAGGAAAAUCAAAUCAACCACAGAAAUCUACUGCUGAAGCUAGUGUCAUUGAAACUGAAUCUGAUGGU
Molecule: long non-coding RNA, 213 nt
Filed under: Nicotiana benthamiana
Lineage: Eukaryota; Viridiplantae; Streptophyta; Magnoliopsida; Solanales; Solanaceae
Description: long non-coding RNA (NBEN_LNC000442)
Source: RNAcentral